This 251-nucleotide unclassified non-coding RNA is filed under the name plant metagenome. Its description in RNAcentral is "partial contains small subunit ribosomal RNA, internal transcribed spacer 1, and 5.8S ribosomal RNA". The record is from RNAcentral.
UCUCCGUUGGUGAACCAGCGGAGGGAUCAUUACCGAGUUUACAACUCCCAAACCCCAAUGUGAACAUACCUAUUCUGUUGCUUCGGCGGGAUCGCCCCGGGCGCGGCCGAGAGGCCAGCCCCGGACCCAACGUGCGCCCGCCGGAGGACCCAAACUCUUCUGUUUCUCACAGCGGUUAUCUUCUGAGUGGCCCCAUCGCGGGCGAAACAAAAAAUGAAUCAAAACUUUCAACAACGGAUCUCUUGGUUCUG